RNAcentral lists this ribosomal RNA (468 nucleotides) under uncultured bacterium. RNAcentral's name for it is "partial 16S ribosomal RNA". It matches the Rfam family "Bacterial small subunit ribosomal RNA", at positions 28 to 507 of the family's 1533-position model. The record is from RNAcentral.
GAUGAACGCUGGCGGCGUGCUUAACACAUGCAAGUCGAACGGAAAGACCCUGCUUUUGUGGGGUGCUCGAGUGGCGAACGCGUGAGUAACACGUGAGUAACCUGCCCUUGACUUUCGGAUAACUUCAGGAAACUGGGGCUAAUACCGGAUAGGAGCUCCUGCUCCAUGGUGGUGGUUGGUGAGAUUCGGCGGUGCGGGCUGGACUCGCGGCUUAUCCGCUUGUUGGGGGGGUAGUGGCUUACCAAGGCUUUGAAGGGUAGCCGGCCUGGGAGGGGGACCAGGCACCAUGGGACUGAGAUACGGCCCAGUCUGCUACGGGAGGCAGCAGGGGGGAAUAUUGCACAAUGGGCGGAAGAGUGUUGUAGAGACGUCCCGUGCGGGAUGACGGCUUUUGGGGUGUGAACAGCUUUCGCAGGUGACAAAGCGUGAGUGACGGUACUGGGUAAAGAAGCACCGGCUAACUACGUG